RNAcentral lists this long non-coding RNA (796 nucleotides) under Manihot esculenta (cassava). RNAcentral describes it as "long non-coding RNA (MESC_LNC010599)". Lineage: Eukaryota; Viridiplantae; Streptophyta; Magnoliopsida; Malpighiales; Euphorbiaceae. The record is from RNAcentral.
CCCCUUUGUCUAUAAUUUAGUUAAUUUAGUUAACGUGUUGUAAAAAAGUGACGUCAAAGCAUACGCAUAGUUGAUACUGCUGUUAUUCUAAAAUAGUGAAGUUGCUAAUCUAAGUAGCUAACCGAUUAUCAAAAGCGUACAGACGAAGAAAUCGACAAGGAUCAACGGCUAAUUGGCGAUUACUUCUUUAACCAUCAAUUGCGAGUGGGCUCCACUCACAAAAUGUUAAAGUACCAAGUGGGGGUCUUGUGGGUCCAGCACACACAGAGAGAACCCCACAAGAAGAUGAAUCAUUGUCAAGAAGAGUAGAAGAAUCUGCCCACUUGAACGGAGUUGGCUUGGAGCGUUGGAGAUAUAACAGAAAUGAAUCAGAGGGCGCAACACAGUUCCAUGUGCAACUGUGUUCAGAGAUUCUGAAAGGCCUUCCUUUGCUGGUUGCCUCAACUGUUUUUGAAUGUUCAAUGAUCCUAGUUAAUGGGCUGUGGGUCCAAAGCCCCUCCACUGUGUGUGACGGCUCAAUUUAUGGGUUCACAUGGCCUCAGUUCUCGCCCAUACUGAUUUUGCACUUUUUGAAGAAGAGAAGAGAUUCAGUUGCGCAGUGAGAGAGUAUCAGAGCUCCUGUCUGCUUCCCCGAAAACGAUAUAAAAAAAGAAUCAACUUGCUUCUUCUCUAUGGACCCAUUUUGCAUCUGGAUGGAAUCUUUGCGUUUCAUUCAUCUUGUAGAUAAGAUAAAUAUAUUUGUUUGAUUAUUAUAUAGAGAUCCCAUUUCCUCCUUUCUAAUAUAAAUUCAAUGCCA